Molecule: ribosomal RNA, 1689 nt
Filed under: Acinetobacter baumannii
Lineage: Bacteria; Pseudomonadati; Pseudomonadota; Gammaproteobacteria; Moraxellales; Moraxellaceae
Description: partial 23S ribosomal RNA
Rfam family: Bacterial large subunit ribosomal RNA
Source: RNAcentral
AGUCAAGUAAUUAAGUGCAUGUGGUGGAUGCCUUGGCAGUCAGAGGCGAUGAAAGACGUGAUAGCCUGCGAAAAGCUCCGGGGAGGCGGCAAAUAUCCUUUGAUCCGGAGAUGUCUGAAUGGGGGAACCCACCUACUUUAAGGUAGGUAUUGCAACAUGAAUACAUAGUGUUGCAAGGCGAACGAGGGGAAGUGAAACAUCUCAGUACCCUUAGGAAAAGAAAUCAAUUGAGAUUCCCUCAGUAGCGGCGAGCGAACGGGGAUCAGCCCAUUAAGUUAUGUGUGUUUUAGUGGAACGCUCUGGGAAGUGCGAACGUAGAGGGUGAUAUUCCCGUACACGAAAGGGCACACAUAAUGAUGACGAGUAGGGCGAGGCACGUGAAACCUUGUCUGAAUAUGGGGGGACCAUCCUCCAAGGCUAAAUACUCCUGACUGACCGAUAGUGAACCAGUACCGUGAGGGAAAGGCGAAAAGAACCCCUGUGAGGGGAGUGAAAUAGAUCCUGAAACCGCAUGCAUACAAGCAGUGGGAGCACCUUCGUGGUGUGACUGCGUACCUUUUGUAUAAUGGGUCAGCGACUUAUAUUCAGUAGCGAGGUUAACCGUAUAGGGGAGCCGUAGAGAAAUCGAGUCUUAAUAGGGCGUUUAGUUGCUGGGUAUAGACCCGAAACCAGGCGAUCUAUCCAUGAGCAGGUUGAAGGUUGGGUAACACUAACUGGAGGACCGAACCCACUGUCGUUGAAAAGCCAGGGGAUGACUUGUGGAUAGGGGUGAAAGGCUAAUCAAGCCUGGUGAUAGCUGGUUCUCCCCGAAAGCUAUUUAGGUAGCGCCUCGGACGAAUACCAUAGGGGGUAGAGCACUGUUUCGGCUAGGGGGUCAUCCCGACUUACCAAACCGAUGCAAACUCCGAAUACCUAUGAGUACUAUCCGGGAGACAGACUGCGGGUGCUAACGUCCGUAGUCAAGAGGAAAACAAUCCAGACCGCCAGCUAAGGCCCCAAAAUCAUAGUUAAGUGGGAAACGAUGUGGGAAGGCAUAGACAGCUAGGAGGUUGGCUUAGAAGCAGCCACCCUUUAAAGAAAGCGUAAUAGCUCACUAGUCGAGUCGGCCUGCGCGGAAGAUGUAACGGGGCUAAAACUAUGUGCCGAAGCUGCGGAUGUAUACUUUGUAUACGUGGUAGGGGAGCGUUCUGUAAGCCGAUGAAGGUGUGUUGAGAAGCAUGCUGGAGGUAUCAGAAGUGCGAAUGCUGACGUGAGUAACGACAAAACGGGUGAAAAACCCGUUCGCCGAAAGACCAAGGGUUCCAGUCCAACGUUAAUCGGGGCUGGGUGAGUCGACCCCUAAGGCGAGGCCGAAAGGCGUAGUCGAUGGGAAAAUGGUUAAUAUUCCAUUACUUCUGUGUAAUGCGAUGAGAGGACGGAGAAGGCUAAAUCAGCCUGGCGUUGGUUGUCCAGGUGAAAGGAUGUAGGCAUGUAUCUUAGGCAAAUCCGGGGUACUCUAUGCUGAGAUCUGAUAGCAAGCUGUACUUGUACAGCGAAGUGGUUGAUGCCAUGCUUCCAGGAAAAGUCUCUAAGCUUCAGUUACACAGGAAUCGUACCCGAAACCGACACAGGUGGUCAGGUCGAGUAGACCAAGGCGCUUGAGAGAACUCUGCUGAAGGAACUAGGCAAAAUGGUACCGUAACUUCGGGA